GGUUAAGUUAGAAAGGGCGCACGGUGGAUGCCUUGGCACUAGGAGCCGAUGAAGGACGGGACGAACACCGAUAUGCUUCGGGGAGCUGUAAGCAAGCUUUGAUCCGGAGAUUUCCGAAUGGGGAAACCCACCACUCGUAAUGGAGCGGUAUCCAUAUCUGAAUACAUAGGAUAUGAGAAGGCAGACCCGGGGAACUGAAACAUCUAAGUACCCGGAGGAAGAGAAAGCAAAUGCGAUUCCCUGAGUAGCGGCGAGCGAAACGGGAUCAGCCCAAACCAAGAGGCUUGCCUCUUGGGGUUGUAGGACACUCUGUACGGAGUUACAAAGGAACGAGGUAGAUGAAGAGGUCUGGAAAGGCCCGCCAUAGGAGGUAACAGCCCUGUAGUCAAAACUUCGUUCUCUCCUGAGUGGAUCCUGAGUACGGCGGAACACGUGAAAUUCCGUCGGAAUCCGGGAGGACCAUCUCCCAAGGCUAAAUACUCCCUAGUGACCGAUAGUGAACCAGUACCGUGAGGGAAAGGUGAAAAGCACCCCGGAAGGGGAGUGAAAGAGAUCCUGAAACCGUGUGCCUACAAGUAGUCAGAGCCCGUUAACGGGUGAUGGCGUGCCUUUUGUAGAAUGAACCGGCGAGUUACGAUCCCGUGCAAGGUUAAGCAGAAGAUGCGGAGCCGCAGCGAAAGCGAGUCUGAAUAGGGCGAAUUGAGUACGUGGUCGUAGACCCGAAACCAGGUGAUCUACCCAUGUCCAGGGUGAAGUUCAGGUAACACUGAAUGGAGGCCCGAACCCACGCACGUUGAAAAGUGCGGGGAUGAGGUGUGGGUAGGGGUGAAAUGCCAAUCGAACCUGGAGAUAGCUGGUUCUCUCCGAAAUAGCUUUAGGGCUAGCCUCAAGGUAAGAGUCUCGGAGGUAGAGCACUGAUUGGACUAGGGGCCCCUACCGGGUUACCGAAUUCAGUCAAACUCCGAAUGCCGAUGACUUAUCCUUGGGAGUCAGACUGCGAGUGAUAAGAUCCGUAGUCGAAAGGGAAACAGCCCAGACCGCCAGCUAAGGUCCCAAAGUAUACGUUAAGUGGAAAAGGAUGUGGAGUUGCUUAGACAACCAGGAUGUUGGCUUAGAAGCAGCCACCAUUUAAAGAGUGCGUAAUAGCUCACUGGUCGAGUGACUCUGCGCCGAAAAUGUACCGGGGCUAAACGUAUCACCGAAGCUGCGGACUGUUCUUCGAACAGUGGUAGGAGAGCGUUCUAAGGGCUGUGAAGCAAGACCGGAAGGACUUGUGGAGCGCUUAGAAGUGAGAAUGCCGGUAUGAGUAGCGAAAGAGGGGUGAGAAUCCCCUCCACCGAAUGCCUAAGGUUUCCUGAGGAAGGCUCGUCCGCUCAGGGUUAGUCGGGACCUAAGCCGAGGCCGAAAGGCGUAGGCGAUGGAUAACAGGUUGAUAUUCCUGUACCACCUCCUCACCAUUUGAGCAAUGGGGGGACGCAGGAGGAUAGGGUAAGCGCGGUAUUGGAUAUCCGCGUCCAAGCAGUUAGGCUGGGAAAUAGGCAAAUCCGUUUCCCGUGAAGGCUGAGCUGUGAUGGCGAGCGAAUUAUAGUAGCGAAGUUCCUGAUUCCACACUGCCAAGAAAAGCCUCUAGCGAGGUGAGAGGUGCCCGUACCGCAAACCGACACAGGUAGGCGAGGAGAGAAUCCUAAGGUGAUCGAGAGAACUCUCGUUAAGGAACUCGGCAAAAUGACCCCGUAACUUCGGGAGAAGGGGUGCUCUGUUAGGGUGCAAGCCCGAGAGAGCCGCAGUGAAUAGGCCCAGGCGACUGUUUAGCAAAAACACAGGUCUCUGCGAAGCCGUAAGGCGAAGUAUAGGGGCUGACGCCUGCCCGGUGCUGGAAGGUUAAGAGGAGCGCUUAGCGUAAGCGAAGGUGCGAAUUGAAGCCCCAGUAAACGGCGGCCGUAACUAUAACGGUCCUAAGGUAGCGAAAUUCCUUGUCGGGUAAGUUCCGACCCGCACGAAAGGCGCAACGAUCUGGGCACUGUCUCAACGAGAGACUCGGUGAAAUUAUAGUACCUGUGAAGAUGCAGGUUACCCGCGACAGGACGGAAAGACCCCGUGGAGCUUUACUGCAGCCUGAUAUUGAAUGUUGGUACAGCUUGUACAGGAUAGGUAGGAGCCUUGGAAACCGGAGCGCCAGCUUCGGUGGAGGCAUCGGUGGGAUACUACCCUGGCUGUAUUGACCUUCUAACCCGCCGCCCUUAUCGGGCGGGGAGACAGUGUCAGGUGGGCAGUUUGACUGGGGCGGUCGCCUCCUAAAAGGUAACGGAGGCGCCCAAAGGUUCCCUCAGAAUGGUUGGAAAUCAUUCGCAGAGUGUAAAGGCACAAGGGAGCUUGACUGCGAGACCUACAAGUCGAGCAGGGACGAAAGUCGGGCUUAGUGAUCCGGUGGUUCCGCAUGGAAGGGCCAUCGCUCAACGGAUAAAAGCUACCCCGGGGAUAACAGGCUUAUCUCCCCCAAGAGUCCACAUCGACGGGGAGGUUUGGCACCUCGAUGUCGGCUCAUCGCAUCCUGGGGCUGUAGUCGGUCCCAAGGGUUGGGCUGUUCGCCCAUUAAAGCGGUACGCGAGCUGGGUUCAGAACGUCGUGAGACAGUUCGGUCCCUAUCCGUCGCGGGCGCAGGAAAUUUGAGAGGAGCUGUCCUUAGUACGAGAGGACCGGGAUGGACGCACCGCUGGUGUACCAGUUGUUCUGCCAAGGGCAUCGCUGGGUAGCUAUGUGCGGACGGGAUAAGUGCUGAAAGCAUCUAAGCAUGAAGCCCCCCUCAAGAUGAGAUUUCCCAUUCCGCAAGGAAGUAAGAUCCCUGAAAGAUGAUCAGGUUGAUAGGUCUGAGGUGGAAGUGUGGCGACACAUGGAGCUGACAGAUACUAAUCGAUCGAGGACUUAACCAA
RNAcentral lists this ribosomal RNA (2930 nucleotides) under Bacillus velezensis. RNAcentral describes it as "23S ribosomal RNA". It matches the Rfam family "Bacterial large subunit ribosomal RNA". The record is from RNAcentral. Lineage: Bacteria; Bacillati; Bacillota; Bacilli; Caryophanales; Bacillaceae.